Molecule: ribosomal RNA, 253 nt
Filed under: uncultured bacterium
Lineage: Bacteria
Description: partial 16S ribosomal RNA
Rfam family: Bacterial small subunit ribosomal RNA
Source: RNAcentral
UACGUAGGUGGCAAGCGUUGUCCGGAAUUAUUGGGCGUAAAGCGCGCGCAGGUGGUUUCUUAAGUCUGAUGUGAAAGCCCACGGCUCAACCGUGGAGGGUCAUUGGAAACUGGGGAACUUGAGUGCAGAAGAGGAAAGUGGAAUUCCAAGUGUAGCGGUGAAAUGCGUAGAGAUUUGGAGGAACACCAGUGGCGAAGGCGGCUCACUGGACCGGAACUGACGCUGAGGCGCGAAAGCGUGGGGAGCAAACAGG